Molecule: long non-coding RNA, 570 nt
Organism: Crotalus tigris (Tiger rattlesnake)
Lineage: Eukaryota; Metazoa; Chordata; Lepidosauria; Squamata; Viperidae
Exons: 3
Source: RefSeq, a predicted model, not a curated record
AUCUUCCCAGUCAUAAAUUUUAUAAUUUUGUGAGUCAUUGAAACAGAGUCCAACAUGAUCAAACAGUAGCUCUCGACUCCAAAGUUCCCUUUGCAUUGACAUUUUUGGCAAAUCUCCAGCUCUGAAUUAUGCAAAGGGUGGGUCGGCCCUCUUCCCAUUCUACACACCAAUAUAAAAACCCAGAUUCUUUCCACCCAUCGCAAUUACGCGAGGUUUUAUAUGCCCUGUACAUAAACAAAGCCUAGUGUUAAACUCCUCAGAUUUAUUCUAAGGGGCAGAAGUUGCUACAUUAGCUGAGAUCAUGAGGAUCUGGAAUGUUUUUGCCUUGCUGUUUAUCUUGAUUCUUUGCUUUGGGACUUUCCCAGCUGAUGGGGCAGGGUCACGAAUGAGAAGAAGAUGCUUGUGCAAAAUGAAGAAACACCUACCUGUGAUGGACGGAGGGAUUGUUGGACAACACAAGAAAUGUUUCUGUAAACCUCAUAAAACAAGCAAACAUGUGUUUGUUCCUGGACCACUGCCUCAAGUGUGAAGGGAAGGCUUAGACAAAUACACAGUAUCCGCUCUAAACUA